GUGACCCCGUAAAGAGUUGGAGAGAACCAUUACUUAAAAAGAGGAGGGAGAUGCAAAGGAAAAGCGACGGACUACACCAGUGAAAAAUAGAAGCCAAACUAUACCAAAGACACAAAGCACCUUACCUCAAUGAAGAAGGAGACCCCCCAUUAAAAAACCCUCAGUCUUUAAGAGGGAACUCAACACAGGCCAAGGAUAGAUCGACUUCCUCAAGGCAACUCAAACGGCCCAAAAAAAAAAAAAGAAAGAAGAAGAAGAAAGAGAAAGAGAGACCUACAGUCAUGA
This 285-nucleotide long non-coding RNA is filed under the name Elaeis guineensis (African oil palm). Its description in RNAcentral is "long non-coding RNA (EGUI_LNC060965)". Lineage: Eukaryota; Viridiplantae; Streptophyta; Magnoliopsida; Arecales; Arecaceae. The record is from RNAcentral.